This 2219-nucleotide non-coding RNA is filed under the name Pongo abelii (Sumatran orangutan). Lineage: Eukaryota; Metazoa; Chordata; Mammalia; Primates; Hominidae. The record is from RNAcentral.
UUCGGCCGCGCGCGGGCAGGGCCCUGGCAGCAACGAAAAUGGCAGCCUCGUAGCCUUCCGGGCCCGGCGGCCGCAUUCCGGGAGUCGCCAGGUGGGAGCCCGCCUUCCGCGUCCCCAAACGCCCAGAGCCCGGGACACGGGCCGGCGGCCGGGUCACCAAGCCAGUUCCCGGAAUCGGCUCGCGCCGGAAUCCAUAUGCGGCUUGCAAAGCCCGCUCCUGCCGUCUCUCCGCAGCGCGCCCUGCCCCACGCUGCCGGCCCUCUUAGCUUCAAAACCAAAUUUUGCCUUGAUCCUGAGAGAUUAAUACCCCACAGGUGAAACCGUGGAGACGGAGCUGCGGUGGGUUUUUUCUCCACGCCUUAGUUUCCCCGUCUGUGAAAUGGGACCAGGCGCGCCUGUGCUCCUCCGGGAGUUUAUUGCAGGGCUGGCUGGAGAGAAUGGCUGGGUGGAAGGCGCCAGGCGGAGGCCCAAGGCCGCCCACCCCGUGGGCCUCGUUUGCUGAGAGGGGGUCAAAGGCGUGCGGGACAGGGCGCGCCCCACGGCGUCUCUGGAGGCGGCCCGGCCGUCCCUGUCUCCUCCCCUCACUCCCCCUCCCCCGGCCUUCCCGGAACUCUCCUCGCCCGCUGGGUGGAGGAGGGGCGCGGGCCGACUCCGCCGCACCCGGGGUCUCCCUCCUCCCUCCCCCACCGCAGAGUCUGGCCCGCCCUGGACUUUCCUCUCAGGUCCCUUUGGGUCUCCAGAAGCCCGGAGGUUUCGCGCAGACUCGAACCUGAGAUGGCACCACCCAGCACCCCAAAUCCUGCAGAGUGUGGAGGGGAUUUGGGGAGAAGGCAGGGGCCGCCCGGGCGCUCUGGCUGCUGGGGGUGGGGGACGGGGCCUGCCGGGGAAGCGGGUCGGGGGAGGACUGGAGACCCAGGCCCCCGGAGAUACAACGAACCUCGCGGGAGGGAAUACGCCAUCCCCGUACCCACUUCCGAGGACGUAGGUCUUUUGGCACCGGCGGCAGCCGCGUUCUCACACAUCUGGGCGAGGCCCCGCAGCACGGCCUGGGGAGCUGAGGCUUCGGGAUCCUGCGCAAACUACCCCUCUGGCUGUAGACGGAGGAGGUGGGGUGUGGGGAGCAGGGGGCCAUGGUGUGAGCAGACCUUCUCACCUCUGGGCCUCCCACUUCCUGGGGCAGGACUUACGGGGAAGGAUCCGAGGGGAGUGGGGUGUCCAGAGGGACACCCAAAGGUCUAUCCCUGCGAGCUUUGCUUUCUACUAAACCAGUAAUCGCGGUGGUGGUGGCAGUCGAGACACGGCUCAAAGAGCCGGCAAGAAUAGAGCAGAGACCAGGAUCGCCCCAGGCAGGGAAAAAAUGACCAAUUCUGUAGUGUGACCCGAAGGUGAUGGAAUCACUCGGGCGUCCUCCUGGGAAAGGGCUGCCUGCCCCCACUGCCAGUACACCGGCGCCCAUGCCCCGGGGGCUGGAGAGAGCAGCCAGGCACAGCCCCCUCCAGCUUCCUGGGAGUCCAAUUUCCCAAGGUAGAACGGUGGCGGCAGAGCCUGGCCCUGUAGUGGGGCAGCUGCACCCAGGUGAGUGGCUUGCAGUUCCUGGAGCCCUGCAGGUUGUUGGAGAGGCAGGGAGCCCUUCUCCCUCCCACCUGCCCUCUUGCACUUCCUCUCCCAGAACCCAGCGCUACUCCCAGAGGCCCUGAGCUGAAGCCCUAGAAGGAGGCGCUGCAAGGCUCAGUGCUCCUGGAGCCUUGAGUCUACGGUAUGAGUUAAACAGAAGGGUAUCUCCUCCAUCAGAUCUACAGGAGGGUGUCUCCUCCAUCAGACCUGAAGCUUCCAAGGCAUUUUACCCAAAGCUCCAGCACCUGUCCCAAGGCUGGGCUGUGCUGUGUCCUCAGUGAAAGAAUGGAUGAGUCACAAGUGAAUGACUGAAGAGCUGAACCAAUGGGAAAACUGAUGCUCAGAGGCUUGAGCAACCGAGGCAAGGACCCGUCCUUAGAGGCAGAAGCAGAACUCAGAGGAAGAGCACCCUGACCACAAAGCCCCAGGGUCCAGAAAGACUCAUCCACUGGAGUCUGUAUUUCCUGAGUCCGCUUCUCACUGCUGGAGCUGUUUAUCAUUGACCAACUUUCACUAAAAAGGAAAAACUAUCACUUAAACAAAGCCAUUGAAACCCCAACAUCAUAUGUGGAUUUUUUAACAUAAAUAAAUCAUACAAACUAAGA